This is a long non-coding RNA of Oreochromis niloticus (Nile tilapia), 681 nucleotides long. RefSeq lists it as uncharacterized. NCBI's taxonomy places the organism in Eukaryota, Metazoa, Chordata, Actinopteri, Cichliformes, Cichlidae. The transcript has 2 exons. The record is from RefSeq and is a predicted model, not a curated record.
GCAGCAGCAACCCCUCAACAGCAACAUUGUACCCAUCAGGAUAUCCUUGUGGAGGAGCUGGAGGCUGAAGUGAAGGAAAGUGAGUUCUAGGCGUCUCUGCUCAGACUGUUGCCCCUGUAAUCGCUUUUUAAGCAGCACAAAACCAAUGGAUGGAUGUGUCAAUGGAUGGAUGGACAAAUGCAUAGUUUAGAUGUAGGAAUUUGUUAUUAGAGUAAAGAAAAUACCUAUAUUGUACUUCAAAGAAAAUGAGCAAACUUCCAAAAUGAGUUGAAUGAAAUGUAUGUAUAUUUAAUGAUAUUCCAUAAAUUAAAGAAUUGAUUAAACUGAUAAAACUCUGAGUGCUGUUGGAGGCUCUGGCAUUCAGCCCACCGUUACAAACAAUAAUGAGCCUUAGAGUUACUCAGCAUUACUUUGACCUAUUAAUGUAGGUACAGAUAUUUAUUGGCAUUCACCAAAUAUACCAUUUCCAGCUCCUUUAAUUUUAUUCUUGCAAUCAGCAAUUAAAAAGCUGAAAGUGUUGUGUAAUGUGGCGUGAGUAGCGUAGUCAGAACCUGCAGACUCACUGUUGUGUCAGUUGUGUUUGGGCAGUGUGUCUAAAUCCUUUAUAACAGACAGCAGUAAAUAAUGUGACACUGAGAACACUCACACACAGCAGCGAUGAUGAGGAAGAGGACAGCAACA